GACGAACGCUGGCGGCGUGCUUAACACAUGCAAGUCGAACGGAAAGGCCCUGCUUUUGUGGGGUGCUCGAGUGGCGAACGGGUGAGUAACACGUGAGUAACCUGCCCUUGACUUUGGGAUAACUUCAGGAAACUGGGGCUAAUAUCGGAUAGGAGCUCCUGCUGCAUGGUGGGGGUUGGAAAGUUUCGGCGGUUGGGGAUGGACUCGCGGCUUAUCAGCGUGUUGGUGGGGUAGUGGCUUACCAAGGCUUUGACGGGUAGCCGGCCUGAGAGGGUGACCGGCCACAUUGGGACUGAGAUACGGCCCAGACUCCUACGGGAGGCAGCAGUGGGAAAUUUUGCACAAUGGGCGGAAGCCUGAUGCAGCAACGCCGCGUGCGGGAUGACGGCCUUCGGGUUGUAACCCGCUUUCGCCUGUGACGAAGCGUGAGUGACGGUAAUGAGUAAAGAAGCACCGGCUAACUACGUG
RNAcentral lists this ribosomal RNA (468 nucleotides) under uncultured bacterium. RNAcentral's name for it is "partial 16S ribosomal RNA". It matches the Rfam family "Bacterial small subunit ribosomal RNA", at positions 28 to 507 of the family's 1533-position model. The record is from RNAcentral.